Molecule: long non-coding RNA, 786 nt
Filed under: Anas platyrhynchos platyrhynchos (common mallard)
Lineage: Eukaryota; Metazoa; Chordata; Aves; Anseriformes; Anatidae
Description: lncRNA (ENSAPLG00000016600.1)
Source: RNAcentral
CGGCCUCUCCAUGAAGAGCAACCUUGUUAGUGGCUCUCAUUUAGCAGUCAGAGCUCUGCCUUUCUAAUCACUCAGCAAUUCUACUCUGUUCCUUCCCAAGCACUGAGCAUUUCCGAUUUGAAGAAUUGCUUUCCCAUAAUUAAAUGAAAAAGAGUUAGUUGCAGUCCUCUGCACAAAUUACUACCCAGUGAAUGCGGAAUAACGUAUUAUAAGUAGUACUUUAUUCUAUUUAUUGUACAGGUAUUGAUGUGUGUUGGAUUUGUUCUAUUUUGGAGGCACUGCCAUGGUAACUAGUCUCUCCUGACAAAGGCUUUAUGUCAGAGCAGAAGUGGAAUACGCAGAAACUGAACUUCGGGUAGCCAGCGAGACGAAGGCUGCCAGCAUCAGCCUCACCACAGCAUCACCACAAAACUCUCUGGUGUGCCCGUGUUCCUCUGAGUCCACUGCUCACUGCGGAGUCACGGGGGAACAGAGGCAAGGUGGCAGCAGCCAGCUCUGUCUUUUUAAGUUCAUGGACAACAAUCUGCUUGUCCUUGUGGGUACUGAAAGCAUCUGCCAUCUUCUCAGUAGCAGGACACAGAAAUUAAAGGGCACUUACAGGUGUGAAAACCAACUGACAAAGUGCUGCUUCAAGUCCGAUAGUGAUCGCCUCUGCCAAAUUUGAAGGUUUUGCCCAGCCUUUCACUGGAGGUCUUGGGUGACCUGGAGCAGGAGACAGCUGUGGGAGCUACCCGUGUCAAUAUUCCCCUUCUUAUUCCCAAUGGCUUCGAACUGUGCCAGCUGACA